This 253-nucleotide ribosomal RNA is filed under the name uncultured bacterium. RNAcentral's name for it is "partial 16S ribosomal RNA". It matches the Rfam family "Bacterial small subunit ribosomal RNA", at positions 524 to 776 of the family's 1533-position model. The record is from RNAcentral.
UACGUAUGGUGCAAGCGUUAUCCGGAUUUACUGGGUGUAAAGGGAGCGCAGGCGGCACGGCAAGCCUGAUGUAAAAGCCCGCGGCCCAACCGCGGGACUGCAUUGGGAACUACCGGGCUGGAGUGCCGGAGAGGUAGGCGGAAUUCCUAGUGUAGCGGUGAAAUGCGUAGAUAUUAGGAGGAACACCAGUGGCGAAGGCGGCCUACUGGACGGUGACUGACGCUGAGGCUCGAAAGCGUGGGGAGCAAACAGG